UGGGGAAUAUUGCACAAUGGAGGGAACUCUGAUGCAGCGACGCCGCUUGAACGAAGAAGGCUUUCGCGUCGUAAAGUUCUUUUAUAUGGGAAGAUAAUGACGGUACCAUAAGAAAAAGCCCCGGCUAACUACGUGCCAGCAGCCGCGGUAAUACGUAGGGGGCUAGCGUUGUCCGGAAUCACUGGGCGUAAAGGGUUCGCAGGCGGAAAUGCAAGUCAGGUGUAAAAGGCAGUAGCUUAACUACUGUAAGCAUUUGAAACUGCAUAUCUUGAGAAGAGUAGAGGUAAGUGGAAUUUUUAGUGUAGCGGUGAAAUGCGUAGAUAUUAAAAAGAAUAACGGUGGCGAAGGCGGCUUACUGGGCUCAUUCUGACGCUGAGGAACGAAAGCGUGGGUAGCAAACAGG
Molecule: ribosomal RNA, 403 nt
Filed under: bacterium
Lineage: Bacteria
Description: partial 16S ribosomal RNA
Rfam family: Bacterial small subunit ribosomal RNA
Source: RNAcentral